Molecule: ribosomal RNA, 468 nt
Filed under: uncultured bacterium
Lineage: Bacteria
Description: partial 16S ribosomal RNA
Rfam family: Bacterial small subunit ribosomal RNA
Source: RNAcentral
GACGAACGCUGGCGGCGUGCUUAACACAUGCAAGUUGAACGGAAAGGCCCUGUUCAUGUGGGGUGCUCGAGUGGCGAACGGGUGAGCAACACGUGAGUAACCUUCCCUUGACUUUGUGAUAAAUUCAGGAAACUGGGGUUACUAUCUUAUAGGAGCUCCUGCUGCAGGGUGGGGGUUGGAUAGUUUCGGCGGUUGGGGAUGGACUCGCGGCUUAUCAGCUGGUUGGUGGGGUAGUGGCUUACCAAGGCUUUGACGGGUAGCCGGCCUGAGAGGGUGACCGGCCGCAUUGGGACUGAGGUACGGCCCAGACUCCUACGGGAGGCAGCAGUGGGGAUGGUUGCACAAUGGGCGGAAGCCUGAUGCAGCAACGCCGCGUGCGUGAUGACGGCCUUCGGGUUGUAAACCGCUUUCGCCUGUGACUAAGCGUGAGUGACGGUAAUGGGUAAAGAAGCACCGGCUAACUACGUG